GUGCUCUGGCGGCGUGCUUAACACAUGCAAGUCGAACGAACCUUCGGGUUAGUGGCGGACGGGUGAGUAGCGCGUGAGAAUCUGCCCUCAGGAGGGGGACAACAGCUGGAAACGGCUGCUAAUACCCCAUAUGCCGCGAGGUGAAAUGAAUUUCGCCUGAGGAUGAGCUCGCGUCUGAUUAGCUAGUUGGUGUAGGUAAUGGCUCACCAAGGCAUCGAUCAGUAGCUGGUCUGAGAGGAUGAUCAGCCACACUGGGACUGAGACACGGCCCAGACUCCUACGGGAGGCAGCAGUGGGGAAUUUUCCGCAAUGGGCGAAAGCCUGACGGAGCAACGCCGCGUGAGGGAUGAAGGCCUCUGGGCUGUAAACCUCUUUUAUCAAGGAAGAAGAUCUGACGGUACUUGAUGAAUAAGCCUCGGCUAAUUCCGUGCCAGCAGCCGCGGUAAUACGGGAGUGGCAAGCGUUAUCCGGAAUUGUUGGGCGUAAAGCGUCCGCAGGCGGCCCUUCAAGUCUGCUGUUAAAAAGUGGAGCUUAACUUCAUCAUGGCAGUGGAAACUGUUGGGCUUGAGUGUGGUAGGGGCAGAGGGAAUUCCCGGUGUAGCGGUGAAAUGCGCAGAUAUCGGGAAGAACACCAGUGGCGAAGGCGCUCUGCUGGGCCAUCACUGACGCUCAUGGACGAAGCCAGGGGAGCGAAAGGGGAUUAGAUACCCCUGUAGUCCUGGCCGUAAACGAUGAACACUAGUGUCGGGGGAAUCGACCCCCUCGGUGUCGUAGCCAACGCGUUAAGUGUUCCGCCUGGGGAGUACGCACGCAAGUGUGAAACUCAAGGAUUGACGGAGG
RNAcentral lists this ribosomal RNA (840 nucleotides) under uncultured marine bacterium. Its description in RNAcentral is "bacterial SSU rRNA". It matches the Rfam family "Bacterial small subunit ribosomal RNA", at positions 31 to 919 of the family's 1533-position model. The record is from RNAcentral.